UUUCUUUCUUUUUUUCUUUUUUUUUUUUUUAAAUCUCCUAGGGCCGUGUGGUGGCACCAAGGGUGUCUGGCCAUUUAUCUUGCUUUCGUUCCUUUCUAACUUUCUGCUUUCUGUCUUUCCUCUUGUCUUGUGAACUAGGCGAGGUGCGGGGAGGAGGGCAGCAGGAGUAGUAGUGGUCUCCUUCCUUAUUAUUAUUAUUUUGAGACAGAGUCUCGCUCUGUCACCCAGGCUGGAUCGCCACGGCACGAUCUCGGCUCACUGCAACCUCGGCCUCCCCGGUUCAGGCAAGUCGCCUCCUUCGGUGUCCCAAGUAGUCGGGAUUCCAAGCCCGUGCCAUCAGGAGGCCUGGCUAAUUGUUACACUUUUCAUAGAGACCGGGUUCCACCAUGUUGGCCAGCCUGGUCUCCAACUCCUGGCCUCAAGUGAUCCGCCCGCUGCGGCCUCCCGAUGUGCUGGAAUUACAGGCAUGAGCCACCGUGCCCGGCCCACCCAGAUAAUCUUGUUAAUAAAUGGUAGAGAAGGGGUUUCCUCAGCCGCCGGGUGGAGGGAGGGUGGGGUGUGGUUUACUCAGCCUGCAUGCUAUUAAGGGGGUAAAUUAGUGUGGUUUGUGAACUAGAUGUGGAAAGUGUGUGGGGUGUGUGUGUGUGUGUGUGUGUGUGUGUGUGUGUGUGAGAGAGAGAGAGAGAGAGAGAGAGAGAGAGAGAGAGAGAGACCAAUCCCAACACGAGGACCCGGAAAUGGUGUUUGAUUCGGGUCCCUGUCUAGUCACCUGUGUGUCUGUAGAUGACUGAGGGUUGCACAGAGGAAGAUAAGCAGUAUCUGUUGAGCUGUUUCUCCCUCUCACGCGUGUCAUCUCUGUGGUGGAGAAAGGGAAGAAAAGAGGCUCUGAUGGGAAGUUGUCUUCAGGCCGGAGGAAGCUGAAGGCAGGCUGACAGGAAGGAGAGCAUGGCAUGUGACAUUUUGAUACCUGGACACCCUUUAGAAUGCUGGGUCUGCCAGUCCACACCGUAUGUCAACCCACCCCCUAAGAACAGCACGGUCCGGGGUGCUCCAGUCUCGUCCCAUCCGGCCCACCCGGGCCAUCUGGUAGAAGUCUUCGCUGGAGCAUUCGAAAGCAGCGUCAACGCCAUUCCCCUGGGGUCGGCCGGCACAGGCCAGCCUGGGGAGGGUGGCAGGACGUGAGGGGGGCAUCCGCCUCAGAGCUCCCUGGAAGGUGGCAGGCAGCCUGUGGUGGACGCUGAGUCAGAGACGUCUGGCAGGAUAUAGAUCUGGAAGCCGCGUCAGUCCUCUCCCAUACCUCUCCCAUGGAAAUCCCACGGCGUGCGGUGGCUGCGGUGGGAGCCCGGGCUGCGGGAGAAGCGGGGACAAGGGGGACAGGGAAGGAGGCCCUCAGGAGGAUUUAGCACCGAAAACCCACCCACCCAGGCUCCCUCCCUCUUGUUGGGUCCCAGGUGCACCGUGGGAGGCGGCAAGAGAAAGGUUCACUGCGUGCUUUUAGUGUUUCCUCUUUUUCAUUUUACAAGAGAUGCCCCUUUGAACAACCGGACGCUGGAUGUGACGGGAGAAGUUUCAAGGCCAGGAGUUUGAGACCAGGAUGAGCAACUGAGCAACAUAAGUAGGGGAGGCCAGCUGAAAAACAAUGAGAGGAGGAGGAGGAGGAGGAGGAGGA
This 1669-nucleotide long non-coding RNA is filed under the name Macaca fascicularis (crab-eating macaque). RNAcentral's name for it is "lncRNA (ENSMFAG00000057547.1)". The record is from RNAcentral. Lineage: Eukaryota; Metazoa; Chordata; Mammalia; Primates; Cercopithecidae.